CAUGCUGAGGCGGCAUCCCACAUGGCGCAACUAGAAGGACCUACAACUAGAAUAUACAACUAUAUACUGGGGGGCUUUGGGGAGAAGAAGAAGAAAAAAGAUUCGCAAUAGAUGUUAGCUCCGGGCCAAUCUUCAAAAAAAAAAAAAAAAAAAAAAAUCAAAAAGAUCAUGUCCUGCUGGGCAGAAAUAUCAAGAAAAUAUCUUUGGUCAACCAAUAUAGCAGCCUGAACUCUGUCACUUACAUUUCCUACAUCCUCUUCUAGGUAUCAUUAACCCCUUGUCAGUAACAUCCUUCUCGGAACCCUCAGGAUAAACAGUGACUCAACCAUAUCCUCCUUUCCCUCUCUAAUUAUUUGAGAACCUGAAGAUGAUUUAUAAGGAUAAGUGGUGACUGAGCACGGAUGACCCAGAUAACCCUCUCCCAGAAUAUUUUAAAGAGAUCUCUUCCACAUCACAACGCAGGGUUCUAGUUUAGAAUCUACAGGUGGAAAGUUCCAUAUUCAACCUACAUUCCCUGUCCUGUUGAACCUUUGGCUCAUAACUUGCUACUUUUUAUGUAUUUGUCCAUCUGCCCCCUCCCCAGCCUCCACUUCAAGGGAAUUCAUCUUUGAAUCCCGUGUAGCUCUCAGCAUGUGUGCUUUACAAAGAGUAGGUGCUGAAUAUUUCUAAUGAAUGAAUCAAAUCCUGAAACUGAGAGAGGACUUAAAAAGGAAGAAGAAGUGAGUAACACAGAAAAAGUUGAUAUAAAGUGAUGAAUUUUUCUGAAGGUAUCAGCUAUGAGUACAGACCUUCUUAGAACUGGCAGCCACAAGGAUCCCGAGAGCUCUUGGAAAUCACUAACCCUUCUUGCCCACCUACAGCACAGCUCAUAUAAGCUCUUUCAACUCAGUGAGAAAUAUCCCUUUCUUAGCCUUGAAGGCAACAAUUAUUUUUCCCAUUCAUUAAAAAUGCAUACACUUGCAAAAAUCAGUUCUUCGAAAAUGGUGCCAUCAGGAUCAGAGCGCCGUUGAAUUGCUCCUGCUGUUGCUAAUUAAAAGGAACUCAUGAGCACUGAGGGUUAAGCCGGAGGUUAGCAGGCAGAAGAGCUCAGUGCCAACAGCUCUGGCUUCCUGCGUCAACAUCUCUUUGUUCUCAAAGAUCUAAAAGGAAAUGAAAAUAUGCUUGGUUGGAAACAGUGGCUUUGCAGGAAAAGUCUCUUCCCAGAUUGCAGGUGCUUCGCUCUUCACUGACCUGGAAUAAAAGAAUCCCCUUUGUGAACUCCAGGGAAAUUAGUCCUCAAAAUGGAAACUUAGAAGGGACAACCAGAAAACCCCAAGUCUUACAGCAUUCUUCUGAAAACUUCAACCAUCUGAGUCAGGUGACAAACUAUAACAACCCGUGUACAUUCCACGUUUCCCCGGAUCGCCAGCACCUUUGGGAGCACAGACGCAAACCCUUCUUCUACGAGGCCCUCGAGCGGCAGACAUUGGAAAGUGCUCGCAGCCUUCUUUUGUCAGACGAGCAGAGCCACCUUGUGGUCGAUUUCGAGAACCGUGUUUGAGGCUGCAGUCUUGCAGAAAGAGCAUUAAAUGAGGGUGACUCCAGAGGGAGGAGACAGAAAAAUGAGGAAAGCAGGCAGCACUACCAAGGGAGCUUGGAAGAAGAGAGUCGUUGUUUCACCUCAAAAUCUUCUCGAAGGGAAGCUUCCUGAGUACCUCCCACCACAGGGUACCUUGAUGUGGUUUUCAGACAACACUGAGGAUGCCAAUAGUUGCCAGAACCAUUGAGUGAAAGAAGUACGAGAUCUCGAAGUAUCUCAUAAAAAUUAUCAAUUAAUGUCAAAGAAAAAAAGGAAUAUUUACAACGGACAGAUGCGGUGGGCACCGCCUUACCACAUCAUUAAAUUUAGCAACAGCCUACCAUGAGAUCUACUGCACGUCUACUGGAAGAGCUCAAAUUUAAGUCUGACAACACCAAGUGCUGCCUAGGAUGCGAUGCAACUAAAAUCCUCACACAUUGCUAGUGGACAUGCAAAAUGGAACAGUCACACUCAAAAACAGUUUGGCAGAUUCUUUCAGCUAAGCGUGUACUUACCGUGCAACCAGCAGUCCCAUUCUGGGAUAUGUACUCAAGAGAAUUGUAAACAAGUCCCACGAAUGUUCACAGCAGCUUUAUUCCUAAUAGCUAAAAUCUAGAAAUAACCCAAAUGUCCAUCAACUGGUUAAGGAAUAACAACUUUUGCUAUAUCCAUACAAUGAAAUGCUAAUCAACAAUAAAAAGGAAUGAAUUCUUGAUAGAUGCAGCAUGGAUAAAUCCCCAAGGCGUUAUGCUGAAUGAAAGAGGCCAAACACAGAAGGCGAUACAGUAUGAUUCCAUUUAUUUUACCUUCAUGAAAAGACAAAACUAGUGACAGAAAUCAGAUCCGUGGUUUCCAGGAUUUGGGGGUCGGAGGAGGAGAUAGAGUACAAAAGAACCCGAGAGUACGUUCGGGGAUGAUGGAAACAUUCCAUAUCUAGAUUGAAGUGGUUAUGUAGCUGUAUACAUUUAUACAAAACUCAUGGAACAAUAUGCUAAAGGGGAAUUGUGCUAUAUGUAAAUUAUGCCUUAAUAAGCCUAACGGAAGAAUCAGUAUCACUGAUAAUGGGGAAAAAAGACAUCACGUGCUUCCUUAUGUCAGCUGUGGGAACCAGGACCUCUGUAGUAUUCUUGCUAAAAAUAACCUACACCUAGCCACGGGGAAACAAUCUGAGAAAUCGAGCCAAUGGCACAUUCUACAAGACAACUAGCCUGGACUCUUAAAAUGUCAACAUCUUGAAAGACCAAAAAAAGUGCAAGAAAAGAGAGCCAUUCUAAAUAAAAAGAGAUUAAAGAAGCAAGAGAACCAAGUGUAAUGGGAACUUUAAUUGAACACUGAGUUUUUUAAUAAAAACCAACUACAAAAGAAAUUUUGGAGUUUAAUUUGGGAAACCUGGAUAUGACUAUAAGAUGAUUCUAUUAAUUUUUUAGACAUCGUAAUGGUAUCGUGGUUCUUUAGGAGAAUAUCUUUGUUCUUGGGAGACACAUGCUAAAAUAUAUAGAGGUGUGAAGUGUUAUGAUGUCUACAAUUUACUUUCCAAUGGUUCAACUAAAAAAU
Long non-coding RNA from Equus asinus (donkey), 3112 nucleotides. Lineage: Eukaryota; Metazoa; Chordata; Mammalia; Perissodactyla; Equidae. The record is from Ensembl.